RNAcentral lists this ribosomal RNA (432 nucleotides) under uncultured bacterium. Its description in RNAcentral is "partial 16S ribosomal RNA". It matches the Rfam family "Bacterial small subunit ribosomal RNA", at positions 29 to 507 of the family's 1533-position model. The record is from RNAcentral.
AACGAACGCUGGCGGCAUGCCUAACACAUGCAAGUCGAACGAGACCUUCGGGUCUAGUGGCGCACGGGUGCGUAACGCGUGGGAACCUGCCUUUAGGUUCGGAAUAACUCAGAGAAAUUUGAGCUAAUACCGGAUGAUGUCUUCGGACCAAAGAUUUAUCGCCUUAGAUGGGCCCGCGUUGGAUUAGCUAGUUGGUGGGGUAAAGGCCUACCAAGGCGACGAUCCAUAGCUGGUCUGAGAGGAUGAUCAGCCACACUGGGACUGAGACACGGCCCAGACUCCUACGGGAGGCAGCAGUGGGGAAUAUUGGACAAUGGGCGAAAGCCUGAUCCAGCAAUGCCGCGUGAGUGAUGAAGGCCUUAGGGUUGUAAAGCUCUUUUACCCGAGAUGAUAAUGACAGUAUCGGGAGAAUAAGCUCCGGCUAACUCCGUG